GGUUGAUCCUGCCAGUAGUCAUAUGCUUGUCCCAAAGAUUAAGCCAUGCAUGUCUAAGUAUAAACCACUUAUACGGUGAAACUGCGAAUGGCUCAUUAUAUCAGUUAUAAUUUAUUUGAUGGUCUCUUUACUACUUGGAUAACCGUGGUAAUUCUAGAGCUAAUACAUGCAAAAAGCCCGACUUCUGGAAGGGUUGUAUUUAUUAGAUUAAAACCAAUGCCUUCGGGCUCCUGGUGAUUCAUAAUAACUCUGCGGAUCGCAUGGCUUUGCGCCGGCGACGCUUCAUUCAAAUU
This 293-nucleotide ribosomal RNA is filed under the name uncultured eukaryote. RNAcentral describes it as "partial 18S ribosomal RNA". It matches the Rfam family "Eukaryotic small subunit ribosomal RNA", at positions 6 to 305 of the family's 1831-position model. The record is from RNAcentral.